GAAAAGAUUGAUUUUAUUCUAUUUUUAAGGUUUUAUGUGAUCAGUGAUUUCAUGCAAAAAGCAAAAAGUGAAAAUAAUUGGAAAAACAAACAUUUAACAUGAAUUUAUUGAAUGAAAAUAUCAUUGUAUUUAUGAGCCAACAAUGUCAUCACUCCUCCUUUUGUCAUGGGAGAAGGUUUUUUUGAACAAAACGAACAUUACGUUGACUUAUGGACAACUGUUGGAACAUCAACAACGAC
RNAcentral lists this long non-coding RNA (239 nucleotides) under Lathyrus oleraceus (garden pea). Its description in RNAcentral is "Pisum sativum (pea) long non-coding RNA (PSAT_LNC020695)". Lineage: Eukaryota; Viridiplantae; Streptophyta; Magnoliopsida; Fabales; Fabaceae. The record is from RNAcentral.